GACGAACCGAGCGAACGUUGUUCGGAAUCACUGGGCUUAAAGGGCGCGUAGGCGGGCUGUCAAGUCUGGGGUGAAAUCCCACGGCUCAACCGUGGAACUGCCUUAGAUACUGACGGCCUCGAGGGAGAUAGGGGCGAGCGGAACUGUGAGUGGAGCGGUGGAAUGCGUAGAGAUCCGGAAGAACACCGGUGGCGAAGGCGGCCUGCUGGGCAGUUGCUGACACUGAGGCGCGACAGCGUGGGGAGCAAACAGG
RNAcentral lists this ribosomal RNA (253 nucleotides) under uncultured bacterium. Its description in RNAcentral is "partial 16S ribosomal RNA". It matches the Rfam family "Bacterial small subunit ribosomal RNA", at positions 524 to 776 of the family's 1533-position model. The record is from RNAcentral.